UUGCUCUUCUGAUCUAGCAACAGCCCCACUAUCAGCACCCAAAGCUGAAAUUCUGUCUUAAACUAUUCCUUGCCAAUACCAGAAACCAACACCACAACUUUCAUAAUUCAUAUAUGGCAUAUACCCAUACUGUGCUUGCCCAGUAUGUCUUCAUUUUCCACAAAAAAACAAGU
Molecule: long non-coding RNA, 173 nt
Organism: Lynx canadensis (Canada lynx)
Lineage: Eukaryota; Metazoa; Chordata; Mammalia; Carnivora; Felidae
Exons: 3
Source: RefSeq, a predicted model, not a curated record